GGCGGACUGGUGAGUAACGCGUGAGGAACCUACCUUCCAGAGGGGGACAACAGUUGGAAACGACUGCUAAUACCGCAUGACGCAUGACCGGGGCAUCCCGGGCAUGUUAAAGAUUUUAUCGCUGGAAGAUGGCCUCGCGUCUGAUUAGCUAGAUGGUGGGGUAACGGCCCACCAUGGCGACGAUCAGUAGCCGGACUGAGAGGUUGACCGGCCACAUUGGGACUGAGAUACGGCCCAGACUCCUACGGGAGGCAGCAGUGGGGAAUAUUGGGCAAUGGACGCAAGUCUGACCCAGCAACGCCGCGUGAAGGAAGAAGGCUUUCGGGUUGUAAACUUCUUUUGUCAGGGAAGAGUAGAAGACGGUACCUGACGAAUAAGCCACGGCUAACUACGUGCCAGCAGCCGCGGUAAUACGUAGGUGGCAAGCGUUGUCCGGAUUUACUGGGUGUAAAGGGCGUGCAGCCGGGCCGGCAAGUCAGAUGUGAAAUCUGGAGGCUUAACCUCCAAACUGCAUUUGAAACUGUAGG
Molecule: ribosomal RNA, 527 nt
Filed under: uncultured bacterium
Lineage: Bacteria
Description: bacterial SSU rRNA
Rfam family: Bacterial small subunit ribosomal RNA
Source: RNAcentral